This 465-nucleotide ribosomal RNA is filed under the name uncultured Gemella sp. RNAcentral describes it as "bacterial SSU rRNA". It matches the Rfam family "Bacterial small subunit ribosomal RNA", at positions 338 to 795 of the family's 1533-position model. Lineage: Bacteria; Bacillati; Bacillota; Bacilli; Caryophanales; Gemellaceae. The record is from RNAcentral.
CCUACGGGGGGCAGCAGUAGGGAAUCUUCCGCAAUGGACGAAAGUCUGACGGAGCAACGCCGCGUGAGUGAAGAAGGAUUUCGGUUCGUAAAGCUCUGUUGUUAGGGCAGAAAGGUUGUGUAGUAACUAUACACAAAACAGACGGUACCUAACCAGAAAGCCACGGCUAACUACGUGCCAGCAGCCGCGGUAAUACGUAGGUGGCAAGCGUUGUCCGGAAUUAUUGGGCGUAAAGCGCGCGCAGGUGGUUUAGAAAGUCUGAUGUGAAAGCCCACGGCUCAACCGUGGAAGGUCAUUGGAAACUGAUAAACUUGAGUGCAGGAGAGAAAAGUGGAAUUCCUAGUGUAGCGGUGAAAUGCGUAGAGAUUAGGAGGAACACCAGUGGCGAAGGCGGCUUUUUGGCCUGCAACUGACACUGAGGCGCGAAAGCGUGGGGAGCAAACAGGAGUAGAUACCCCUGUAGUC